CCCGCGGAGUUUAAGCAUAUCAAUAAGUGGAGGAAAAGAAACUUACGAGGAUUCUCCUAAUAACAGCGAGCGAACCGGGACAAGCUCAAGUAGAGAAUCAAGCCCCGUCAUGCCCGGACUCUGUCGCACCACGAGGCGCUGUCGGCGAGUCGGGUUGUUUGGGAAUGCAGCCUCAAUCGUGCGGUAAAUUUUGUCCAAGGCUAAAUAUUAGCGAGAGACUCAUAGCAAACAAGUGCCGCGAGGGGAAGAUGAAAAGGAAUUUGAAAAUAGAGUCAAAGAGUGCUUGAAAUUGUUAGGAGGGAAGUGGAUGGGGGCUGGCGAUGCGCCCCGGUCGGAUGUGGAACGGAGAGAGCCGGACCGUCGAUCGGCUUGGGGCACGGACCGAUGUAGAUUGCGGCGGCUGCCCAAGCCCAGGCUGUCGACAUGCCCGUGGAGACGCCUUCGCCGUGGAAGGCAGCGUGUGCUGUCCAGCCUUUGCACCUACGCGCUCCAAGCACCGGUCUAUUGGCUUCCUAUCUAGCCCGUCUUGAAACAUGG
Molecule: non-coding RNA, 537 nt
Filed under: Morus notabilis
Lineage: Eukaryota; Viridiplantae; Streptophyta; Magnoliopsida; Rosales; Moraceae
Description: Eukaryotic large subunit ribosomal RNA
Rfam family: Eukaryotic large subunit ribosomal RNA
Source: Rfam by way of RNAcentral